UAUAACAAGGAUGCUCUUUCUCUUUUUCCUUUCUUUUUUUCCUUUUUUUCUUUUUUUUGGUUAUUCAAUUUAGAGGAGAGGAAGAAAAUGUUAAUUGAAAAAAGUCACAAUAUUAUUUUCACCUAAAAGUCAGGUAAUGGCAUUGAAGAAUACUCAUAAAACUGUCAUGACUGCAGUAAUAACUAUUAUUAUGAUCAAAUUUAAUAAAAAAAACCCUGCCUGCAAUAUGGGAAUUAUGAAUAAUUCAUGAAAAUUGUUGCUUAAAAUGUGAUAGAGAGGAAAAGACUUGUAGAAAAAUACUUAAUGUAUCCAGACAGCGAUGAUAAUUGGUUUUUGCAACUAAAUGAAUACUUCAUGUACAAGCCAGCACUAACAAGGCAAGAGGAGAAGUCUACACAUUGGGGAAACAAUUUCACUUAUCUGGUUACAGCAAGUAACUAUCUUUAACACAUUUCAUCUGAUGUACUAUUGGCAGUGAAGGAAAGAAAACCAGAAUAUUUGAUGCAAUAAGAUUUGAUCUUUCUACUAAAUUGUACUUGCCAGUAGUCAGCUGGGCAACUUUUAUUAAUCCCUUCCAAUAUGCUUACAUACUGGUUAGCAUGGCACUAAGUGAAGAAAAAUAAAUCUGAAUGUUCACUAA
This 640-nucleotide long non-coding RNA is filed under the name Monodelphis domestica (gray short-tailed opossum). Its description in RNAcentral is "lncRNA (ENSMODG00000050967.1)". Lineage: Eukaryota; Metazoa; Chordata; Mammalia; Didelphimorphia; Didelphidae. The record is from RNAcentral.